Molecule: ribosomal RNA, 431 nt
Filed under: uncultured bacterium
Lineage: Bacteria
Description: partial 16S ribosomal RNA
Rfam family: Bacterial small subunit ribosomal RNA
Source: RNAcentral
CCUACGGGUGGCAGCAGUAAGGAAUAUUGGUCAAUGGACGCAAGUCUGAACCAGCCAUGCCGCGUGAAGGAUGAAGGCCUCUGGGUUGUAAACUUCUUUUACAGGGGACGCGGUACCCUGGGAAUAAGCACCGGCUAACUCCGUGCCAGCAGCCGCGGUAAUACGGAGGGUGCAAGCGUUAUCCGGAUUUACUGGGUUUAAAGGGUGCGUAGGUGGGUUUGUAAGUCAGCGGUGAAAUCUCCAGGCUUAACCUGGAAAUUGCCAUUGAUACUAUAGAUCUUGAAUUAUCUGGAGGUAAGCGGAAUAUGUCAUGUAGCGGUGAAAUGCUUAGAUAUGACAUAGAACACCAAUUGCGAAGGCAGCUUACUAGGUAUAUUGACACUGAGGCACGAAAGCGUGGGGAUCAAACAGGAUUAGAUACCCUUGUAGUC